Molecule: non-coding RNA, 340 nt
Organism: Paramisgurnus dabryanus
Lineage: Eukaryota; Metazoa; Chordata; Actinopteri; Cypriniformes; Cobitidae
Source: RefSeq, a predicted model, not a curated record
UUUUGGAAGGGGAUGUGCAGGGAGAGGAAGACAAAAAGGUGGAAGAGGAGGAACGUUCUUUAGGAUUACAAUACCACGUGCAAAGAAAUAUAAGCAGCAAUGGCUAAUAACAGCACUUCAGAAACAUAGUCCCAUACCCUUCAAGCCACUACAUUACUGCACAUCAGGUCAAAGCGUUCACUUUUAUGUGGAGGAUGAGGCCGCUGCCAGCGCCCUGCACAAACUGUCACGCAGAAUCACGGACAGCGAGGGGUUCAAAGUGGUUGUCUUCACAAACCCUUGUUUAUAUCCUCCUUUCCAACAAACCAGCCUGAAGCCAGAACAUCUGAAGCAUUUAAAG